UUUUUAGAGUUUGAUUCCCUGCUCAGGACGAACGCUGGCGGCGUGCCUAAUACAUGCAAGUCGAACGCUUCUUUCCUCCCGAGUGCUUGCACUCAAUUGGAAAGAGGAGUGGCGGACGGGUGAGUAACACGUGGGUAACCUACCCAUCAGAGGGGGAUAACACUUGGAAACAGGUGCUAAUACCGCAUAACAGUUUAUGCCGCAUGGCAUAAGAGUGAAAGGCGCUUUCGGGUGUCGCUGAUGGAUGGACCCGCGGUGCAUUAGCUAGUUGGUGAGGUAACGGCUCACCAAGGCCACGAUGCAUAGCCGACCUGAGAGGGUGAUCGGCCACACUGGGACUGAGACACGGCCCAGACUCCUACGGGAGGCAGCAGUAGGGAAUCUUCGGCAAUGGACGAAAGUCUGACCGAGCAACGCCGCGUGAGUGAAGAAGGUUUUCGGAUCGUAAAACUCUGUUGUUAGAGAAGAACAAGGACGUUAGUAACUGAACGUCCCCUGACGGUAUCUAACCAGAAAGCCACGGCUAACUACGUGCCAGCAGCCGCGGUAAUACGUAGGUGGCAAGCGUUGUCCGGAUUUAUUGGGCGUAAAGCGAGCGCAGGCGGUUUCUUAAGUCUGAUGUGAAAGCCCCCGGCUCAACCGGGGAGGGUCAUUGGAAACUGGGAGACUUGAGUGCAGAAGAGGAGAGG
Molecule: ribosomal RNA, 689 nt
Filed under: Enterococcus faecalis
Lineage: Bacteria; Bacillati; Bacillota; Bacilli; Lactobacillales; Enterococcaceae
Description: bacterial SSU rRNA
Rfam family: Bacterial small subunit ribosomal RNA
Source: RNAcentral